AAUUGUCUCACGCUUUUCUCUUUCAGAACUCAGUGUUGCUUUGACCACUAAAAGGGAGACUUGUGUAGAAGUGUCAAAAUGAAUUUGUCAUAUAUCAAGGUUUGGACUAAUCAAUUUCUUCUAUGUCUGGCAGGUACUGAAUUUUUAUUAUAUAAACAAUAGGAUGGAACCGAUAAAUUCGAAGUAAAUAAAUAAGAAUUAAUACUAAUACACAAAAACACUUAUAGAUAAAUUCAAUAUACCGUUCUCAAGUUAAUAUACAUAUAUAUAUAUCGUAAUAAACGUAAGGUCUAGCGUAGCGAGUAUUACAUGUUUACAGUCGUAUACAGUGCAAUGUUAUCUUUUCCUUUUAGAACUAUCGAUUAAAUAAAAAUCUAUUAUAUCGAAAAAUGUGAUUGUCUUUUUGCAUUCUAUAUCAACCCGUCUUCAAAGGUAUUUGUUUUUAAUCAGGUAAUGGCAAACGUAUUGAAUCGAUACGGACUCACCAGCUUGCACAGGUUAAUAAUUGAGAGAUGUUUACAAGGAAGGCAAAACGUAUCAACAAAACCAAUAGGAACAGAAACCUACGCGGAAUCGCCCGUAUUAGUUGAUAAAGAUGACCACAUCACAUUAAUUGGCUUAAAUCGCCCGAUACAUCGCAACUCAAUAAAUGCUGAGACCGCUCAGAAGUUAAGUGAGGCAUUGGCUGAUUUCGAAAGAGAUAAAACUUCACCCGUAGCUGUAAUUUAUGGUAUAGGUGGCUCAUUUUGUGCUGGACAGGAUCUGACAACGUUGGACACUAAUAAUGAUAAAGAAAAUUUUAGUGCACUUUCAACUUAUAGGACAAUACAUAGACAUUCUCUAAAACCUAUAGUUUGUGGCAUCAAUGGCUAUUGCGUUGGAGAUGGUUUGGAUUUGGCAAUGUUUUGUGACCUUCGUGUUAUGGAAGACACUGCAGUUCUAGGUUUUUUUGGGCGGUUCACGGGAUAUAAUGUAAGUUGCGGCGGGAUAGCAAGGUUACCAGCAAUGAUUGGCUUCUCGCGAUCAUUAGACUUAUUACUAACAGGCAGACGUGUUUGUGGACGAGAAGCACUACAAAUGGGUUUGAUAAACCGUUUGGUAGCAACAGGUACUGCUCUUGGACAGGCGGUUAAUUUGGCCUUCUCCAUUGCGAAGUUUCCUUCAGAAGCAUUACAAAAAGACCGUCAAGCUAUGUACAAAAACUGUUAUGAACACAGAAAUGGACUGAGUGCGGCAAUAAUAGAAGAAACUAAAUCGUUUAAUAACAAAGUUUUGCUUGAAAUAAAAGAAGGUGUAACCAGAUUUAAAGAUGCAAAAAGUAGAGGACAAAAAACAGAUUCCUGGCAAGUAAAGCCGAAAAUUAUACCAGCUUGGGAACAAGAAGAAAUUCUCGAAGAACAAAAAUUUGCUUCGAACGGAAAUUUUUCAGAUAGAAAAUGCUGAUUUUAGUUUAAAAAUUGGAUAACAAACAUUGUACUAUACGUGUUUCUUGUUCUUAAAAGGACAAGCACUGAACUCUUAAUUAAAAAUAUGUAUGUCUGAGCAACUUUUAAAAGUAUGCAGAAACACAAGUUAAUUGUUAAAGAAACCUACGAGGUGUUGUAGAGUCUGAUAGUAGCCGGAAUCAGAAUUGAAACCGAUAAAAAAUAUAGUAGGUCUCAUGAGAACGAUUGCCGUUCAGGGCGGAAUUGGGUAAAAAUGGAGCAGACCAAAUUCGAAUCGGAAUAGCGGGAGUUGGAGGGGGUGUUGUUCGGUGUGUAGUGUGGGAGAAAAAUAAAAUAUAUUUUUAUAUUUUAAAUUAGGAGACCUUAAAAGCAUAUUAAAAAUCUUUUGCCGAUGUAAUGAAAUACCCCAUAACACUCGGGUCUACGUAAUCGGAACGGACCUGGAUUUUAUCCGGCUAAGAACUAUCAGCUCGUCAGAAUUUUGCUGUUGCAACAACAACAGGGUCCCCUAGAAAGACUCCUUGGCAAAUAUUACUAUUAUUUAACCAGAUUCGAUAACUUGGAAAACAGUUGGGAAACUAUUUAGCAACGGUGCCACUGAAUAUGAUUGUGGCGAUAAUGAAAAAACUCUGUUAAUUUAUUAGACAAAGAAAAUUUCCUAAAGCAUUGCAUUCAAAAUGUACCAUUUUACAAAGUGAUGGACCAACGGCCCAAGAGAAAAUAAAUGGUCUAAAACGGUAACCGACAUGAAUUCAAAUAUUAUUGGUUUGACGUUCGAAACACAAAUUGUAUCGGUUUUGGGUGUCACGGAAAUCAAUUUUAUCGGUUUUGUUAUCAAAAAUAAAGCAAAAGGAUAGUUGCUGACAGAUAUGAAAUGUAAGUGAAAAAAAUUAUUUAUAUUAUUGUUCCAAUAUAAUUUAUCGUUAUUUCUAUAGGGGAAAUUAUAAGAAUAAAACACAAAAUGGCAUAAUUGUUAAGUUUAUGGAAAAAAUCCAGAUAUUUUAAGAGGAUUUAUAAAACUUAUUAAACGUAAUCUAACACCCAAA
Molecule: non-coding RNA, 2491 nt
Organism: Bactrocera oleae (olive fruit fly)
Lineage: Eukaryota; Metazoa; Arthropoda; Insecta; Diptera; Tephritidae
Source: RefSeq, a predicted model, not a curated record